RNAcentral lists this unclassified non-coding RNA (229 nucleotides) under air metagenome. RNAcentral describes it as "partial contains small subunit ribosomal RNA, internal transcribed spacer 1, and 5.8S ribosomal RNA". The stretch from base 1 to 46 matches the Rfam family "Eukaryotic small subunit ribosomal RNA", at positions 1786 to 1831 of the family's 1831-position model. The record is from RNAcentral.
AAGUCGUAACAAGGUUUCCGUAGGUGAACCUGCGGAAGGAUCAUUAACCAUUGGAUACCUUCGGGUAUAUCCCAUCCGUGUCUACAUACUCUUGUUGCUUUGGCAGGCCGUGGUCACCCACUGUGGGCUAUGCCUGCAUGCGCCUGCCAGAGGACCAAACUCUGAAUAUUAGUGAUGUCUGAGUACUAUAUAAUAGUUAAAACUUUCAACAACGGAUCUCUUGGUUCUG